UACGGAGGGGGCGAGCGUUAUUCGGAAUUAUUGGGCGUAAAGGGCGCGUAGGCGGCUAGGUAAGUCAAAGGUGAAAUCCCUCGGCUCAACUGAGGAACUGCCUUUGAAACUGCCUGGCUUGAGGCCGGGAGGGGGUAGCGGAAUUCCCAGUGUAGCGGUGAAAUGCGUAGAUAUUGGGAGGAACACCAGUGGCGAAGGCGGCUACCUGGACCGGUGCUGACGCUGAUGCGCGAAAGCGUGGGGAGCAAACAGG
This 253-nucleotide ribosomal RNA is filed under the name uncultured bacterium. RNAcentral describes it as "partial 16S ribosomal RNA". It matches the Rfam family "Bacterial small subunit ribosomal RNA", at positions 524 to 776 of the family's 1533-position model. The record is from RNAcentral. RNAcentral also lists the same sequence under 1 other name.